Molecule: ribosomal RNA, 498 nt
Filed under: uncultured bacterium
Lineage: Bacteria
Description: partial 16S ribosomal RNA
Source: RNAcentral
GUAGUUAGCCGUGGCUUUUUCUCCAGGUACCGUCACGUCCUUCGUCCCUGGUAAAAGAAGUUUACAACCCGAAAGCCUUCUUCCUUCACGCGGCGUUGCUGGGUCAGGCUUUCGCCCAUUGCCCAAUAUUCCCCACUGCUGCCUCCCGUAGGAGUCUGGGCCGUGUCUCAGUCCCAAUGUGGCCGAUCACCCUCUCAGGUCGGCUACCCAUCGCAGGCUUGGUGGGCUGUUAUCUCACCAACUACCUAAUGGGACGCGAACCCCUCCUUCAGCGGAUUGCUCCUUUGACCUCAUCCCGAUGCCGGGUCGUGGUCUUAUGCGGUAUUAGCACUUGUUUCCAGGUGUUAUCCCCCUCUGAAGGUCAGGUUGUUCACGCGUUACUCACCCGUUCGCCACUAAAAUUUAUCUUCCAUCCGAAAACUUCUGAUAAAUCUCCGUUCGACUUGCAUGUGUUAGGCACGCCGCCAGCGUUCGUCCUGAGCCAGGAUCAAACUCUGA